GCGGGGUGAUGGUGCUUGCACUAUCACUUAGCGGCGGACGGGUGAGUAAUGCUUAGGAAUCUGCCUAUUAGUGGGGGACAACAUCUCGAAAGGGAUGCUAAUACCGCAUACGUCCUACGGGAGAAAGCAGGGGAUCACUUGUGACCUUGCGCUAAUAGAUGAGCCUAAGUCGGAUUAGCUAGUUGGUGGGGUAAAGGCCUACCAAGGCGACGAUCUGUAGCGGGUCUGAGAGGAUGAUCCGCCACACUGGGACUGAGACACGGCCCAGACUCCUACGGGAGGCAGCAGUGGGGAAUAUUGGACAAUGGGGGGAACCCUGAUCCAGCCAUGCCGCGUGUGUGAAGAAGGCCUUAUGGUUGUAAAGCACUUUAAGCGAGGAGGAGGCUCUUUUGGUUAAUACCCGGAAUAAGUGGACGUUACUCGCAGAAUAAGCACCGGCUAACUCUGUGCCAGCAGCCGCGGUAAUACAGAGGGUGCAAGCGUUAAUCGGAUUUACUGGGCGUAAAGCGCGCGUAGGCGGCCAAUUAAGUCAAAUGUGAAAUCCCCGAGCUUAACUUGGGAAUUGCAUUCGAUACUGGUUGGCUAGAGUGUGGGAGAGGAUGGUAGAAUUCCAGGUGUAGCGGUGAAAUGCGUAGAGAUCUGGAGGAAUACCGAUGGCGAAGGCAGCCAUCUGGCCUAACACUGACGCUGAGGUGCGAAAGCAUGGGGAGCAAACAGGAUUAGAUACCCUGGUAGUCCAUGCCGUAAACGAUGUCUACUAGCCGUUGGGGCCUUUGAGGCUUUAGUGGCGCAGCUAACGCGAUAAGUAGACCGCCUGGGGAGUACGGUCGCAAGACUAAAACUCAAAUGAAUUGACGGGGGCCCGCACAAGCGGUGGAGCAUGUGGUUUAAUUCGAUGCAACGCGAAGAACCUUACCUGGCCCUUGACAUAGUAGAAACUUUUCCAGAGAUGGAUUGGUGCCCUUCGGGAAAUCUACAUACAGGUGCUGCAUGGGCUGUCGUUCAGCCUCGUGUCGUGGAGAUGGUUGGGAUAGUCCGGCCA
This 1042-nucleotide ribosomal RNA is filed under the name Acinetobacter soli. RNAcentral describes it as "bacterial SSU rRNA". It matches the Rfam family "Bacterial small subunit ribosomal RNA", at positions 66 to 1092 of the family's 1533-position model. Lineage: Bacteria; Pseudomonadati; Pseudomonadota; Gammaproteobacteria; Moraxellales; Moraxellaceae. The record is from RNAcentral.